CCAUCCCCACCCAAAGCUUGUACAUUUCAAUGUGUCUCUGAUGCUGAAAAGGUUCCAUUAAUGCAAUAAAAUUGAAAUUUUUCUGUCUAUUUAACAACACAACCCUUUCAAAAUCUUGUUGAGUGUUAACAGACCUAAUAUUCCAUAUCAAUGCACUAUUUAUUGGGAACCUUUUGAUUUAGAAGUUGUUUUCCUUGUUUGCACACCUCCAGCAGUUGCUGGAGGUACACUUUUAUCCCUGCUUGUUUUCUUCUUUGCCUCCUUCUUUGUUUUGCAAGAUGCUUUGGUGAUAUAUCUCCUUUGGUUAUAGCCAUCUGCAAGUUCUUUGUUGUGUCCUGAUUAUCCAUCUCAUCAUCAUCACCAAUAUCAAUAGCAUUGGAUAGUUCUUCUUCUGUUGGUUGUUGUACUGUUGCUGCAAACCUUGAUGCUUGUUGUUUCAUUGUGCCAUCAUCCAUGUUGGAGUGUAUUUUCUUAUUUUGGAUCUCAUUACUCUGCAUUUCCUCUAUUUGUUUUCCAGAUAUAGCUUUUGGAUCAUCUUGUUUCUCCAUCUCUAUUUUAGGCACUGCUUGACUAUCUUCUUUUGCAUCUUCCUGUUCUUGCCCAUCAAUAAUUUGAUGUGUUUGUGCACUACAAACUAUCAGGAGGUUUAUCAGGUUCUUUAUUCAAAUCAACAUCAUGCAUCCUAGGUCCCGUCUCUGAUUUGUCAUCAGAACGUUUGUUGGAUCAGGCUAGGCUUCCUCCUUCUUGGGUCUAUAUUCAGGAUGAACGACCCAACAUCCAUUAAUAUCAUGCCCUUGAAGCAUACAAUUAGUGCAGUAUUUAGGGAGAUAAUCAUAUUGUAUAUUUUGCCAUUUUGAUUUGAUCUCACCAGUUUCCUCAUCUACACAACUGAUAUGAAUUCGUUUUGGUAAUUCCUUUAACAAAUCAACUUGCACUUUCACACGAGCACAACUUGGCCUUGUCCGAUUACUUGGUGCUUUGUCAAUCACCAAAGGAAUUCCUACUGCGUGUGCCAUAGAAAAAAUGGCUUCUUUAUCAAACAAA
Molecule: long non-coding RNA, 1044 nt
Organism: Lycium ferocissimum
Lineage: Eukaryota; Viridiplantae; Streptophyta; Magnoliopsida; Solanales; Solanaceae
Exons: 2
Source: RefSeq, a predicted model, not a curated record